This 484-nucleotide ribosomal RNA is filed under the name uncultured bacterium. RNAcentral's name for it is "partial 16S ribosomal RNA". It matches the Rfam family "Bacterial small subunit ribosomal RNA", at positions 30 to 507 of the family's 1533-position model. The record is from RNAcentral.
AUUGAACGCUGGCGGCAGGCCUAACACAUGCAAGUCGAGCGGAUGAAGGGAGCUUGCUCCUGGAUUCAGCGGCGGACGGGUGAGUAAUGCCUAGGAAUCUGCCUGGUAGUGGGGGAUAACGUCCGGAAACGGGCGCUAAUACCGCAUACGUCCUGAGGGAGAAAGUGGGGGAUCUUCGGACCUCACGCUAUCAGAUGAGCCUAGGUCGGAUUAGCUAGUUGGUGGGGUAAAGGCCUACCAAGGCGACGAUCCGUAACUGGUCUGAGAGGAUGAUCAGUCACACUGGAACUGAGACACGGUCCAGACUCCUACGGGAGGCAGCAGUAGGGAAUAUUGGACAAUGGGCGAAAGCCUGAUCCAGCCAUGCCGCGUGUGUGAAGAAGGUCUUCGGAUUGUAAAGCUCUUUAAGUUGGGAGGAAGAGCAGUAAGUUAAAACCUGGCUGUUUUGACGUUACCAACAGAGUAAGCACCGGCUAACUACGUG